This is a long non-coding RNA of Amblyraja radiata (thorny skate), 419 nucleotides long. RefSeq lists it as uncharacterized. The record is from RefSeq and is a predicted model, not a curated record. The transcript has 3 exons. NCBI's taxonomy places the organism in Eukaryota, Metazoa, Chordata, Chondrichthyes, Rajiformes, Rajidae.
AUCAUCCGGAAACAGCCGAGUGCGGCCGAACCGCCGGCCGAAGCUUCGUUCCCCUGGGGAGGGUGGGUGGGCGGCGUGGAAAUUUCCAGACGGCGUCGUGUCGUUGUGAGCAAAGAUCUUAUAUCUUAUCUUAAAGAUACUAGAGGAGCUUUUUGAUUGUGAAAGAGGCGGCGGAGAAGAAGCGAGAGGAGUGAUGAGUUUCAGGAAAACCAGAAGUCUGUGAACACACUCUUAAUUUGCAAAAGAAGUGUCCAAAAUUAGCAUAUUGAAAUUGGCAACACACCUCUCUCCAAGAUAAUACUACACCAGGGUACCACCAAGUCAUGCACAAGUGCAACAGAUGGUGCAAAGAGAAAAAUACCAGAGGACAGACUAUAGUUUUGCAGCUUUUGUAGCAUUACAGAUCCGGAGAAAAAUCC